Oncorhynchus tshawytscha (Chinook salmon) is the source of this 392-nucleotide long non-coding RNA. Lineage: Eukaryota; Metazoa; Chordata; Actinopteri; Salmoniformes; Salmonidae. The record is from Ensembl.
ACUGGUACAGAGUCAAUGUGGAGGCUAUAUACAGGGGGUACUGGUACAGAGACAAUGUGGAGGCUAUAUACAAGGGGUACCGGUACAGAGUCAAUGUGGAGGCUAUAUACAGGGGGUACAGGUACAGAGUCAAUGUGGAGACUAUAUACAGGGGGUACAGGUACAGAGACAAUGUGGAGGCUAUAUACAGGGGGUACAGGUACAGAGACAAUGUGGAGGCUAUAUACAGGGGGUACAGAGACAAUGUGGAGGCUAUAUACAGGGGGUACAGGUACAGAGACAAUGUGGAGGCUAUAUACAGGGGGUACAGGUACAGAGACAAUGUGGAGGCUAUAUACAGGGGGUACAGGUACAGAGACAAUGUGGAGGCUAUAUACAGGGGUACAGGUACA